RNAcentral lists this ribosomal RNA (155 nucleotides) under Xylaria ophiopoda. RNAcentral describes it as "5.8S ribosomal RNA". It matches the Rfam family "5.8S ribosomal RNA". Rfam says of the family: 5.8S ribosomal RNA (5.8S rRNA) is a component of the large subunit of the eukaryotic ribosome. It is transcribed by RNA polymerase I as part of the 45S precursor that also contains 18S and 28S rRNA. Functionally, it is thought that 5.8S rRNA may be involved in ribosome translocation. The record is from RNAcentral. Lineage: Eukaryota; Fungi; Ascomycota; Sordariomycetes; Xylariales; Xylariaceae.
AACUUUCAACAACGGAUCUCUUGGUUCUGGCAUCGAUGAAGAACGCAGCGAAAUGCGAUAAGUAAUGUGAAUUGCAGAAUUUAGUGAAUCAUCGAAUCUUUGAACGCACAUUGCGCCCGUUAGUAUUCUAGCGGGCAUGCCUGUUCGAGCGUCAU